UGCCACUGUUGUAGAACCUUCACUGUCGCA
This 30-nucleotide non-coding RNA is filed under the name Rattus norvegicus (Norway rat). Lineage: Eukaryota; Metazoa; Chordata; Mammalia; Rodentia; Muridae. The record is from RNAcentral.